ACUAUUUUGACAGAUAAAUGUGAUGGUUUUAGAAAUCAUUUAUAUAUAAUUUUUGAUUAUAUAAAUAGUA
Molecule: transfer RNA, 70 nt
Filed under: Zygaena exulans exulans
Lineage: Eukaryota; Metazoa; Arthropoda; Insecta; Lepidoptera; Zygaenidae
Description: transfer RNA-Leu (CUN)
Source: RNAcentral